GUUCAGGGAUGGGAAACGAACCCACAGUGUUCCGCUUACCGGGCAGAUGCCAUGUCCACUAGGCUACCCUGGA
Cordylochernes scorpioides is the source of this 73-nucleotide non-coding RNA. The record is from the annotation of a GenBank genome assembly. Lineage: Eukaryota; Metazoa; Arthropoda; Arachnida; Pseudoscorpiones; Chernetidae.